Molecule: ribosomal RNA, 497 nt
Filed under: uncultured bacterium
Lineage: Bacteria
Description: partial 16S ribosomal RNA
Rfam family: Bacterial small subunit ribosomal RNA
Source: RNAcentral
GAUGAACGCUGGCGGCGUGCCUAAUACAUGCAAGUCGAGCGAACGGACGAGAAGCUUGCUUCUCUGAUGUUAGCGGCGGGCGGGUGAGUAACACGUGGAUAACCUACCUAUAAGACUGGGAUAACUUCGGGAAACCGGAGCUAAUACCGGAUAAUAUUUUGAACCGCAUGGUUCAAAAGUGAAAGACGGUCUUGCUGUCACUUAUAGAUGGAUCCGCGCUGCAUUAGCUAGUUGGUAAGGUAACGGCUUACCAAGGCAACGAUGCAUAGCCGACCUGAGAGGGUGAUCGGCCACACUGGAACUGAGACACGGUCCAGACUCCUACGGGAGGCAGCAGUAGGGAAUCUUCCGCAAUGGGCGAAAGCCUUACGGAGCAACGCCGCGUGAGUGAUGAAGGUCUUCGGAUCGUAAAGCUCUGUUAUUAGGGAAGAACAUAUGUGGAAGUAACUGUGCACAUCUUGACGGUACCUAAUCAGAAAGCCACGGCUAACUACGUG